AUUUAUUAUUAACAAUAAUAUAAAAUUAUGCACAAAAAGAAUUACUAAUGUAAAAAAAAAGUGCUUUUAUUUAUAUAUGUGUAACAGAGUUAGAAAAUAGCUUAAUGAAUUUCCUCAAAAUUGAUGUGCUUUGUGAAUAGUUGGAGCCACCUGGUGGACAAAUACCGCAACUGCAACUGUUAAGGUUCUAAAUUGCUGCACAGCGCAUGCCUCAGCAAAGAAAAAUACUCCCGAGCUGGUGAACUGAAUGUUGCAGUUGCUUUGCACAGUAUUAAUGACAACUGUGUGCUGUUUUCUUUGUACCAGUUGCCAGAAUAAAGAGGGAGCCCAGAGUAAGGGCAAGUCCAGCGUUGCAGUGCCGUCCUUCCUACAUGGGCAUAUCACACCACUUGCACGAUAGACUCACAGAACAGCAACAGCUACAUUGGUGCCGUGACUCUGUGAUUUGAGAUCAACUUGAUGCAGAUCUCCAACCCAGGUUGCAUUGUAUUGUGCUUUAAGAUUCAUCCAUUGCUCGUCUUGGACUGUGAAUUACGUUGAGGUACUGGACUGUUUGUUCUUUGGUUUGAUGGGACUCUCUCUGGACUGCUUGUGCUGACACCUGCAACUCUGAAUAUUUGUUAUUGUCUACGUUUUGUUUUUUUCUUGCUUUUCCUUUUCUCUGUUUAUAUGCUAAUAUGGCAAGCAAAUUCCAGCUGAGUGAUAUAUGUGACAAUGUUCGCUCCUCUGUUGGGCGGGGUAGAGGUGCAGCACGUGCUCAUUUACUGUCACAUGGGUCAGUUGGGAGGGAUGAGGGAGCUUCACCUGUGUUGCCUGGGAGGGUUGGAGCCUUUGGGUCGGGUGUAGAUCCAAAUGAGUCUCCCGUGGUGCAAUUUUUGCGGGGCGAAGCACGUCACUCCACUCCCAGUGAUGGGAAUGACACAUUAAACCAGUUUAGUGACGUGAUCUUUCAGCUUGGUUUACAGAUAGGUGAAUCUAUUGUGGCCAGACUUAUGUCUAGUAGAGCUGUUGGUGAUGUUGACCGAAAUGAUGCUCACUCACAUGACCAGACUUCCCAUUCGGGUGGCGAUACGAAUAUGCCAAGUGAGAACACUCAAUUCAGCGUUAUUGUAAAAUCCGACAGGGAGCCUGUCAUUUUCAGGGGUGAUGGUACAGACAAGUACACAGUGACUGA
Oreochromis niloticus (Nile tilapia) is the source of this 1174-nucleotide long non-coding RNA. RefSeq lists it as uncharacterized. The transcript has 3 exons. NCBI's taxonomy places the organism in Eukaryota, Metazoa, Chordata, Actinopteri, Cichliformes, Cichlidae. The record is from RefSeq and is a predicted model, not a curated record.